RNAcentral lists this long non-coding RNA (223 nucleotides) under Drosophila guanche. The record is from RNAcentral. Lineage: Eukaryota; Metazoa; Arthropoda; Insecta; Diptera; Drosophilidae.
AUUUUUUUGUGCGGCAAAACGUUUUGCCUAAUGCCAGAUGGCUUUAAUUUAUUUUCUAAAUUAUUUCCCAUAUUCUAAGAGCAAAUGAAAACACACACUUUUCCAGUCCUUCCACUCUUUGGAUAUUCUUUCUGUACACAGUGCUUAAAACUUGAUGGAAAUCGAAAUCAAAGUCGGUCGAAAAGAUGAGCGAAAGAGCGAAAAACAUUGCCAGAAGUUGCCU